CACCUGCGACAUAUGGAGGUUCCCAGUCUAGGGGUCCAAUCAGAGCUGUAGCUGCCAGGCCUACACCACAGCCACAGCAACGCUGGAUCUGAGCUGCAUCUGUGACCUAUACUACAGCUCACGGCAACACCAGAUCCUUAACCCACUGAACAAGGCCAGAGAUCCAACCUGUGUCCUCAUGGAUACUAGUCAGAUUCAUUUCCACUGAGCCAUGAUAGGAACUCCCUAAUAUUUUUUUAGGUGCUUUAAAUCCAGGAAAUAUUAUUUAAGCAUUAGCAGAUGACUCACAAAAAAAAUUUUGUGAAACCUUCUUAUGACCUGAGCUCGUACAUGCCAGCCAGUAAGACACCACUUUGUAGAACAAAGAGCUUGAGUGCUGCAGCAAGAUCAAAGGAGAAUGUGUAAUAAAUUACAGGGGAAGUCACACCUCAUGCCACUUCCGUCAUUGCUCUCCACAUGUCAUUUAAAAUGCAAUUCCCUUUGAAUGGGCACAGAGCAGUUCUAUUACCAAAUAGGACUGCUUUUACUACCAGCAGCAGUUUAAUGAUUUUAUGUCAUUGCAAUAAUAGAAACAUGACAUUCAACUGUGACUACAGCUUGUAGGAUCUAUUUUUGGAAAGCUGAUUUUGUAGAGGACACAGAAAUGUGGACUCUUGGUUCCUGUUUAUUUCCCCGAAGGCUGAGCCAGUAACUCUCCCACAUCCGUCCCCUCCAUGGAGUGGACCCUUCUUGACUUUCUAAAAUGAGUGUGGUGAUCUGAAGUCUCAAACAAUGAUGGUUCACAGAUAAAAACCCUUCUUUCGAGUCUUGGGCCUGAAUCCAAUUUUUCCAUCAGAGGAAGCACCCCUUAUGGAGUAGUUCGAUGCCUGAGUCCUUACACUUGAUGGAGAAGCACACAAACAACAAUAACAAAAGUACAUGUUCUUUCUCAGUGGAUGGAGGACAUUGCCUUGUAUCUUUCACAGAUAAAUUUGAAGGGAUGGGUCAUAAACUCCCUCAUUGUCCUUCUCUCACACGUAAACACUAUCACUGUCAGCGCACAUUCAACUUUCUUCUAAUUGCAGACAAGGAUUCUCUCUUGCUUGGCCAACUCUUCCACCUGUGGGUUUUUUGUUUUGUUUUGUUUUGGUUUGGUUUUUUUGGCUUUUGUCUUUUUAGGGCCGCACCCAUGGCAUAUGGAGGUUCCUAGGCGAGGGGUCAAAUCAGAGCGACAGCUGCGGGCCUACACCACAGCCACAGCCACGCCAGAUCUGACUGCAUCUGAUCCUGCUCACAGCAAUGCAGGAUCCUCAACACACUGAGCGAGGCCAGCAAUUGAAGCCGCAACCUCAUGGUUCCUAGUUGGAUUUGUUUCCGCUGCACCAAGACGGGAACUCCCACCUGUGUUCUUGAGUCCCAUCCCUACUGUCUCUUCUAGGACCUUAAUCCAUCCGUGCCCUACUUUUGCACCUAUGUUUUUCACCUUCCCCCUCACUAUUGGACCUUUCCUUUCAGUGUGUUAACAUGCCCGGAUACCACCAUUACACACACACACACACACACACACACACACACACACACACACACACACACACACACACCCUCUGUCUACGUCUAGUCACUGACCCAUUUUUCUCCACAACCAAACUACUUAAAAUACUUCCCAUUUGCAGCCUGCCGUUUUUAAAACUCCUGUUUUCUCUCUUGCUUCUAUAAAUAAGUAGGUGAUUUUUCCUUGCCUUCUUGUUUCAAACAAUAUACUGCAAGCUUUUUCUUAUCAGUCCGACUUUUUCCGGCUCUAACCCAUAGUUUCCAGCUCUCACCAAGCUUCCCAAACUGCUCAUCAGUGACCUCAUUAGAGUUAAAUCCAAUGGUCACUAUCAGUAAUUUGAACAUUUUGCUUGCAUGUGAAACACGUGAUACCUCUUUUCCCUUUUUAAAAAUUUUCUUUUCUUGGUUUGAUGCUGCUGCAUGAAAUAACCUAUUUAAUUUCCAACAGUUUCCAUAUAUUUCCUCCAAGUACUGUACCAUACACUUCAUACUGUUAAAACAACCCUGAAAGGAAGGGAAUAUCAUAAUAUUGUACACAUUUAAAAAUUAAACAAGUGGAACCUAAAGAACUGGAAUGAUUUUACCCAAGUUACAUAGUAAUUAUGAAGAAUGGGAGAAGAACACAGUUCAUUCUGAUACCAAUGUACAUCUGUAAACUUGUUACUAUGGUAAUUACAUAUUUAAAACUUACAGAAAUAUACUGAUUGUUACAAUUAACAAAUCCUGCUUAUCCACAGAUUUAAUACGUUAUUUUGCUCUAUUGGAUUAUUUUUCCAGAAGUGAUACAUUGGAAAAGAUUUAAAGCCCAAUUUGUAAUUCUCCCAAAUUUUAUCCCCUUUGCUCCACAGAGGAAACCAUUUUACCCUAGUUGGUCUUUAUCUUUUACAUCCAAAUUAUUUAUCCUGCUGUUAGACUGAUACCAACUUCUUUAUCCCUUCCUCCUUUUCCUUUUCUUUGACUGAAUAUUGAAUAGUCUUUCUCUUCUGUUGGUGUUCACUUGUAAAUUUUAAACAUGUACACUUAAGGCAUCCCCUGGGUGCCUAAUGGUUAAGGUCUGGUGUUGUCACUGCUGUGGCUCGGGUUUGAUCCCUGGCCUGGGAACUUUGACAUGCCAAAGUCAGAGCCAAAAACAAACCUCAAAACAAAGAUGCCUUCAGAGUGUAUUUACAAUAAACUUCUUUCUAUAAUCUACCACAUGAAAUUGUCUUGUUUGUGUCUUGUAAAAUACCAGGUCUAAAAUGUCCAAGAAAUUAAUAAUAUUCAUCAUCUAUGUGUCUAUCAACCUGCAUUCUAACUGUCCAUGUUUGCAUACAUUCACCUAUGCAUUUAUCAAAGUAUUUCCUAACCAUCUCAUCCUUAUUUAGAAAGGAGGGUAUUCAAUUUCCUCUUCCUGAUUUUCAUGCUCUGGUUUUGCUUUGUUUUGUUUUGGCGAGAGUCUAUGAAUCAUUCAUUGUCACAGCAUUGUUAUGAUUAUUUUAAAGAUUUAGAUUCACCCCUGAAUUACACUUUGACUAAGUAUCGAAUUCUAGGUUGAUAAGUAUUUCACAUCUACUCUUAUCAUUCGUUAGGUUUCUUAUCUCCAUCAUGACUGUGAGACAUCUUCUGUGAUUUUAAUUUUUAUUCCUUUGAUUGUAAUAUAUAUUUCAUCUUUGAUUGCUUUCAAGAUUUUUUCUGAUUAUGUGAGUUCUGAAGCUUUAUGGCAAUAUAUCUAGUGCAGAUUUGUGUUUGAUCAUUCUGUCAAGUAUGUGCUAUACUUUAGAACAAUCAUUCUAAAGAUUGAUAUCUCUUUUCAGUCCAGGAAAAUCAUAAGCCAAUGUGUCUUUCAUUUUUCUUUCUCCUCCCUUUCUAAAAAUUAUCUUGUAUGUUUCCUGUAGUAUGUUAUUUUAUAUUCUUUGUAUUUUUACACCCAUGCUGCAUGUCUGAUUAACUUAAUCAGAUCUAUUUCCAACUUACUUACACUUACUUACACUUAUCUACAUGUUUACCAAAUGCAUUUGCUCACAAUCUCUGAACCAUAUCACUUAUAUGUCCCUAGCUCAAGACUGGGGUCCUUCUUCAAGGUUAUUAUUUUUUUGAGGUGGUUAUUUAUCUUCUUUUAUCUAUUUAAACCUUUAUACAUUUAUUUUAAUGUCUCCUCUGGAUAGUUCUAUUAUUUUUAGUUCUAGGGCGUGAAUUCUUUUUGUUAAAUUUUCUGACUUGACUGUUUUACUCUUAAGCAAUCUUCAUGGAGUUUAUGAAAUGAAUUGUCUUCUCAAAAUUCAUAAGUUGAAGUCCUCACCCCUGAUAAGACUGCAUUUGGAGACAGGGUUUUUAACAAGGUAAUUAAAGUAAUUAAGACUAAGGCUUUUCAAGAGGUCCUAAAGUUAGGGUCCUAAUCUAAGAAGCCUCACCAGAAACCAACCCUACCAACACUAUCUUGGACUUCCGGCCUCCAGAACUGUGAGCAAAAAUAAAUAUCUGUUGUUUAAGCCACCCAGUCUGUGGUACUGUCAUGACAGCCCAAGCUGACGUAUACAGGGGUCCUUCAAGAGCCCCAUUUGCAGCAACAUUCACUGAGUGCCAGUUCACAGUCACUUCUUUACUGUUGUCAUGGUCUGAGUUUAUAUUAGAAUUUUGUUAAUUUCUCAACUUGCCAUUCUCACAUAAAUACUAUAAAUUUGGAACUCACAUAUUUGCUUAAAGAUGUUUCAUGUUGCAUGUUUGUCACAUUUGACUCAUUUUCACUCAUGGCUAGUGGUCAGAAUUUUGCUUUCAAGGACAGAGUAGAAUACCUUCCUGUCUCAAAGCUUUUUGUGGCUAAUACACAUUCAGUCUCCUUGUGUAUGAAGCUUGUGACCCGCACUGCUCUCUGAGGGUACUAAAAUAUCAGACCCAGUAUUUAAGGUCUGUUUCCCAGUUCAGACACUGGGAAAUUGGGGCCUCUGAUUAUUGAUUUUUUUUUCUUUUGGCUUUUUAGAGCCGGCAGCAUAUGGAAGUUUCCAAGCUAGGGGUCAAAUCGGAGCUUCUGCUGUCGGCCAUAGCCACAGCAAUAGCAAUAUGGGAUCCAAGCCAUGUCUGCAACCUACAUACACCACAGCUCAUAGCAAUGCCAGAUCCCUGGCUCACUGAGCGAGGCCAGGAAUGGAACCCACAUCUUCAUGAACUCUAGUCAGAUUUGUUUCCACUGCACCACAACAGGAACUCCUAUUGAUCUUAUCUUGAAAAUAUUUCUUCAUUCUGGAAUUUAAGGAAUCCCUUUCUUGACUUUUACCCUAUGUAUUUCAAAAAACACUUCUUUCAUAAUUUUAUUUGGAGUGGAAAUGAAAUUCUUCUGCAUCAGCUUAAUUUCAAGUAAUGACCAAAUGUCUCAUAUUUUCCUUGUAUGUCAUUAUGCCACUUUUUUGUCCACAUCAUAUCUCUGACUGCUUAUAAUAAUAUGCCAAAGCUGAUUUCUCUUUCUCUAUGUAACAGUUAAAUAUUUUCAGAAAUUUAAAUAUUUCAGUCUCCUGAAAUGUUAUAAGUAACUCAUUUUUGAAAAUUCCUAUUUGAUAUCUUAACCUCCACAUUCAAUGGAAAGGCAAAUUCCAUCUACCCAGCCUUCUGAGCAUUAUCAUUUCACAGGAGCAACCAUCAAAUCCCACUUCUAGGGAGAUAGAGCAGCUUCUUGGAACUUUUAACUUGUCCCACUGGCCAAAUUAACAUCCAUGCCUCUAAUCAUUUUUGUCCUUCUCUAGUAUUCUCUUGGCUGCCAGAGGUAUUUUCAUUCUUUUUCUUGUUUUAAAUAACUAAUUCAUACUCUUUGAUCCCAUGGAUCUUUUCAAUGGAUUCCCCCCUUGCCUAUAGAAUAAAGUCCAAACUCUUUAAGUUGCAAAAACGAAUAUUCCUGUAAGAGCCUUGGCCUACUGGUCUAGCCUUAUUUUUCACAAGGAUCCGCAUCACCACGAUGAACUCCAGUUUAACUGACAUUUGUAGCGUUAUGUUUCCAACUUUGCUCAAACUAUUUCUUCUCCCUGAAGUUAUUUCUCCUUGUCCCCUCUCCUCAUCUUCAUCUCUACCUCACUUUCUCAAAUCUUUCAGUCUUUUCCAGGGAAAGUUGACAACAUCUUCCUUUGUAUCCCUGCCAGAAAUACUUCUCCUUGGUACUUACUAUAAUCUUCAUUCCACUGAAAUAAUAAUGCCUGCUUCCUAUUCUGAAAUUGUAAGAUCAUUUAAGUCAUGGUUUCUUUUCUUUUUCUUUUUUUUUUUUUUCCUUUAUGGCCAUACUGAUGGCAUAUGAAGUUUCCAGGCCAGGG
This 5801-nucleotide long non-coding RNA is filed under the name Sus scrofa (pig). RNAcentral describes it as "lncRNA (ENSSSCG00000062831.1)". The record is from RNAcentral. Lineage: Eukaryota; Metazoa; Chordata; Mammalia; Artiodactyla; Suidae.